GUAAUAUGGUCAAGUAAUGAAGUGCAAACGGUGGAUGCCUUGGCAGCUAGAGGCGAUGAAGGACGUAGUAACUUGCGAUAAGCUUCGGGGAGUCGGUAACAGGCUUUGAUCCGGAGAUUUCCGAAUGGGAAAACCCACCUAGGAUAACCUAGGUAUCUGUAUCUGAAUACAUAGGAUAUAGAGGCAAACGAGGAGAACUGAAACAUCUUAGUAACCUCAGGAAUAGAAAUCAAUUGAGAUUCCGAUAGUAGCGGCGAGCGAAAUCGGAUCAGCCAGCAAUCUUUAUCAUAGAGAUUAGGGGAAUGGCCUGGAAAGGCCUGUCGUAGAAGGUGAUAACCCUGUACCCGAAAAUUUUUAUGAAGAACUAAGUUUGCGAUAAGUAGGUCGGGACACGAGACAUCUUGACUGAAGAUGGGGGGACCAUCCUCCAAGGCUAAAUACUCCUAGCUGACCGAUAGUGAACCAGUACCGUGAGGGAAAGGCGAAAAGAACCCCGG
RNAcentral lists this ribosomal RNA (497 nucleotides) under Gammaproteobacteria bacterium. RNAcentral's name for it is "partial 23S ribosomal RNA". It matches the Rfam family "Bacterial large subunit ribosomal RNA", at positions 1 to 529 of the family's 2925-position model. Lineage: Bacteria; Pseudomonadati; Pseudomonadota; Gammaproteobacteria. The record is from RNAcentral.